AGUCAACCUACCCUAUGGACGGGAAUAACCUCGGGAAACUGAGAAUAAUGCCCGAUAGAACAUUAUGCCUGGAAUGGUUUAUGUUCCAAAUGAUUUAUCGCCGUAGGAUGGGACUGCGGCCUAUCAGUUUGUUGGUGAGGUAAUGGCCCACCAAGACUAUUACAGGUACGGGCUCUGAGAGGAGUGGCCCGGAGAUGGGUACUGAGACACGGACCCAGGCCCUAUGGGGCGCAGCAGGCGAGAAAACUUUGCAAUGUGCGAAAGCACGACAAGGUUAAUCCGAGUGGUUUCUGCUAAAGGGACCUUUUGACAGUCCUAGAAACACUGUUGAAUAAGGGGCGGGCAAGUUCUGGUGUCAGCCGCCGCGGUAAAACCAGCACCUCAAGUGGUCAGGAUGAUUAUUGGGCCUAAAGCACCCGUAGCCGGCUCUGUAAGUUUUCGGUUAAAUCUAUACGCUCAACGUAUAGGCUGCCGGGAAUACUGCAGAGCUAGGGAGUGGGAGAGGUAGACGGUACUCGGUAGGAAGGGGUAAAAUCCUUUGAUCUAUUGAUGACCACCUGUGGCGAAGGCGGUCUACCAGAACACGUCCGACGGUGAGGGAUGAAAGCUGGGGGAGCAAACCGGAUUAGAUACCCGGGUAGUCCCAGCUGUAAACUAUGCAAACUCAGUGAUGCAUUGGCUUGUGGCCAAUGCAGUGCUGCAGGGAAGCCGUUAAGUUUGCCGCCUGGGAAGUACGUACGCAAGUAGAAACUUAA
Molecule: ribosomal RNA, 755 nt
Filed under: uncultured marine group I thaumarchaeote
Lineage: Archaea; Thermoproteati; Nitrososphaerota
Description: bacterial SSU rRNA
Rfam family: Archaeal small subunit ribosomal RNA
Source: RNAcentral